UCUACCAGGAAAAAGCUAUCAUGCUUUUGUUGCCUGACAACACAACAGUUGCAUCUACAUGCACUGUCGUGGCACUAGAGAUCCUUGCAUGAACAUCCACCUCUAUAAAAUGAACAUUUUUCGCUCAUUUCAUCAAAACCUUUUCCUCUCAUAUUAUUUCUCUUUCUCUAUAGGCAAUGUAUUAUCUAACUUUGGUAGCUUAUUACAUAUAUUUCAAUUCAUCCAAGGUCUUUUAUUAUCUUUCUCUACUUAUCAUGGCUUUGUUUUACAUGUUUGUAUUCAAGGAAAGUGUGAGAGAUACACAAAAAUUAGCAGCUUGGGUUUGUAAGCAAGAGGCCAGGGAUUUGUUUUGUUUGCAAUUUGAAGAGAGUGCUACUACUUCAGCUGCGCAUCUUCAUGAUUCAAAUGCGUCCUAUUAUAGCUAGCUAGGGUUUCAGUGUUGUCCAGGAUCAUUGCAUGAUUCCUGUCAUCGUUUGUUUUCCUAGUUUCUGGUGCCUGGGGAGUUUCAUGGGCCAUGUAAAAACAAAUCCUAGGCAAGCAAAUCUUAUUUUACUUAUCCAACUUAAAUUGAAGAUCAGAUUUUUUGUUGUUAUAUUAAAUUAAAUAGUAAAAAUCUUAUUGGCAGGUUUUUUUAGUAUUACUUCUUCAUGAAGUAUAGCUGGUGUAGCUAUUCGCAAUUCUCCAAAAAAAAAAAAAAAAUUGCUAUACGAAAAUCCAUCUUUGAAUUUUUAAAUACUUAAAAUUAAAAAAGAAUCAAUUUUGAAGGAUAAUUUUAACUUCUUUUUAUUAAAAAAUGUUCUAUCAAUAAUCUUGCAUGUGCAAGGUGUCAAAGAACCAUCUCAACCCAAUAGUUUAAGCUUUUAGGUAAUGUUCCAAGAUAUGAUUUAUAUUAUUCUCUAACACACCCCCUCAAGUGAAAGCCCUUACAUUACCUUGUGCUUAAUUUUUAUCAAAUAAAUGGGGAUGGUGAGAUUCGAACUCGUGAUCACUUGGUCAUCAAGACUUUGAUACCAUGUCAAAAAAUCAACUCAACCUAAUAGCUUAAGCUUUUAGGUAACGUUCCAAGAUAUGAUUUAUAUUAUUAUCUAAUACAAGGCUCGUAGUGUCUUGUCUAAUGCAUAAAAUCUUAUCUUUUAAACCAUAUGUAAGAAAUGGUUAUUAGUUUACUUCGAAACCGUUCGGCUAGUGAACUAAUUAAGGUUGCUCGUCAUUGGUUCAUUAGUUGAAUUGUCGGUGCAUCAAUCAGACUAUGGUUUGUAGAUAAAUAAACACACAGAUGAGAAGGCAAAUAGACCAGCCUAGAACUAGAAGUUUGCCUUUGCUAUAAUGAGCUCCAUUUUAGUUACAAGAGUUGAUGCGACAAGUUUUAUCAAUCUGGUUUGUCA
Long non-coding RNA from Populus trichocarpa (black cottonwood), 1385 nucleotides. RefSeq lists it as uncharacterized. The record is from RefSeq and is a predicted model, not a curated record. The transcript is spliced from 2 exons. NCBI's taxonomy places the organism in Eukaryota, Viridiplantae, Streptophyta, Magnoliopsida, Malpighiales, Salicaceae.